UACGUAGGGGGCAAGCGUUGUCCGGAUUUAUUGGGCGUAAAGAGCGUGUAGGCGGCCAGGUAGGUCCGUUGUGAAAACUGGAGGCUUAACCUCCAGACGUCGACGGAAACCGUGUGGCUAGAGUCCGGAAGAGGAGAGUGGAAUUCCUGGUGUAGCGGUGAAAUGCGCAGAUAUCAGGAAGAACACCAAUGGCGAAGGCAGCUCUCUGGGACGGUACUGACGCUGAGACGCGAAAGCGUGGGGAGCGAACAGG
This 253-nucleotide ribosomal RNA is filed under the name uncultured bacterium. RNAcentral describes it as "partial 16S ribosomal RNA". It matches the Rfam family "Bacterial small subunit ribosomal RNA", at positions 524 to 776 of the family's 1533-position model. The record is from RNAcentral.